CUCUCUAGCCGAACUCUUUUGAUUCGUAUAUUCUUAUUAAAGCCAAUGCUCCUCUCGUGUCGAUUCUGAUCGGGUUGUAACCCAUUCAAGUCCAUCUGAUAUGCAUUUGUAUCUGAUAUGUAUCACGUUCUUGGCACGCCCCGCCUAAUAUACCGUGCCCACAUCUCAAGGCUCGUUAAGAACGGCCUCAUCGACCAAGCCAUCAACCUGUUCGACGAAAUGACUCAAUCAGAUUGCCGGGUCUUCGGCAUCGACUAUAACCGUUUCAUUGGCGUCCUCAUUCGUCAUUCCCGUUUCGACUUAGCUGAAUACUACUACUUCCAAAUGUUCCCUCAGGGUUUCUCUUUAACCCCCUUCACCUACUCUCGUUUUAUAUCCGGUUUGUGCUCCGUGAAGAACUUGAAUCUGGUUCAGCUUCUUUUGGAUGACAUGGAUAAAUUGAAUUACGUUCCUGAUAUUUGGGCUUUUAACAUCUAUUUGAAUCUUUUGUUUAGAGAGAAAAAGGUAGAGUUAGCUUUAGAUGUUUUUUGUAGCAUGGAUAAGAAAGGGAGAGACCCGGAUGUUGUAACGUAUACAAUAAUGAUCGAUGGGAUGUGUAAAGCGGGUAAGCUUGAUAAUGCGGUUGGUUUUUGGAGGGAAAUGAUUGGGAAAGGUUUUAAACCUGAUAAUAAAGCUUGUUGUGCGCUUGUCGUUUCAUUGUGCGAAGGUCGGAAGGUUGAUUUGGCGUAUGAACUUGUUAUUGAGGUGAUUAAAGGUGGAAAUAUCAAGUUUAGUUCAUUGCUCUACAAUGCACUGAUUAAUGGGUUCUGUAGAAUGAAGAGAAUCGAUAAGGCACAGGCGAUAAAGCUGUUUAUGACGAAUAAUGGGUGUGAGCCGGAUUUGGCUACAUAUAAUAUUUUGUUGAAUUAUUGUUGUAAUGAGCUUAUGUUGGAGGAGGCUGAGAAGUUGAUGAAGAAAAUGGAGAGGAGCGGGAUAGGACCUGAUGUGUAUAGUUAUAACCAGAUGAUUAAGGGUCUUUGUAAUGCUAAUAGGCUGGAUAAAGCAUACUUAUUGAUGGUGAACAAGAUGGAGGUGAAUGGGUUGGUUGAUGCUGUUUCUUAUAAUACCAUUAUCAAAGCAUUUUGCAACGGUGGUCAUGCUAGAAAAGCUUACAAGCUUUUUGAGGAAAUGGGUAGGAAGGGGAUCGCACCUGAUGUGGCGACAUUCACAACUCUUAUAAAGGCUUUUCUUAAUGAAGGUAGUUUCGGUGCAGCUCAAGAACUUAUUGAUUAUAUGUCAAGGAUGCGUCUGUUGCCUGAUCGUAUUUUCUAUACUACAAUUAUUGACCACCUAUGCAAAAGUGGGAAAGUUGAAAGGGCUUGUUGUAUUUUUGAUGACAUGAUAAUGCAGGGAGUUAAUCCUGAUGUGAUUUCAUACAAUGCCCUCAUAAAUGGGUUUUGCAAGUCUAACAGAGUAACUGAAGCUUUACAUCUAUAUGAGGAAAUGCAGACUAAAGGAUUCUCUCCAGAUGAGACAACUUACAAAUUGAUAAUUGGAGGGCUCAUAAGGGAAAAGAAUCUCUCUAUGGCUUGCAAAGUAUGGGAUCAAAUGAUGGAGAAGGGUUUUACUCUUGAUGGAUCUGUUUCUGAGACACUGAUCAAUGCUAUCCAUUCAACAGACUCUGCAUGAACAUGGUGAACGAUUUGGUAAUUGGUGUUGGGUAGCCAUAUGGAUGGAUUGUUUGGUAUAAGCUUUUCUUAUGACCCUCUAUUCUUGCCACUGUUUUGCCCUUCCUGCUGACGCUUAGAAAAUAAAUCUCAGGUUUGAGCUGUUCGCUUUCUUGAAUAUAUUUAUAGACGAACUGUAUACUAAUAUACUAGCAGAAAAAAAUUCUACUUUUUUUUUUUUACAAAUAAGAAUGCUGCUAGGAAAAAAUGGUAUGUUGGCUAUACCAUUGGGGGAAGGUCCCUAUAUUUGAAGAUCAUCAACAAGUUUCAAGUAUGACUGUAUGAGACCAUGGUUAUAUCAUCAAUAUAAGUGACAACUAUCCCAUCGUAUGGAUUUAUCUGUUCAUACUCUCAUCUAUGUGUUCAUCUCACCAUUCAAUACCUUUCUGUGCGCUUGUGUAUUGCAGGGGAAACUCUGCCAUUGCUUGAAAUUGGACUAGGUUCUUUCAGAAGCUGUGAGCUCAAAAUUUUUACCUUUGGGCAAUGGAAAAGCAGGCAGGUGUCACGUUUAUGAAUGGCUCAUCGACAUGUUGAAACCAACCCACAUUUUAUCGAAGAUCCUGACGGUACAACGCCCAAGCAACGCCAUUAUCUACUGCUACC
Hibiscus syriacus is the source of this 2309-nucleotide RNA transcript. It is a transcript of the gene named pentatricopeptide repeat-containing protein At1g13040, mitochondrial-like, with no coding region annotated. Lineage: Eukaryota; Viridiplantae; Streptophyta; Magnoliopsida; Malvales; Malvaceae. The record is from RefSeq and is a predicted model, not a curated record. The transcript has 4 exons.